This 1262-nucleotide long non-coding RNA is filed under the name Hordeum vulgare. RNAcentral describes it as "long non-coding RNA (HVUL_LNC015305)". The record is from RNAcentral. Lineage: Eukaryota; Viridiplantae; Streptophyta; Magnoliopsida; Poales; Poaceae.
AACAAACUUGCCCCCUUCUAUGUUUGUAUGUUGGCUUCGUCCCCGGGAAAUAGAAACAUAGCUUGGUUAAAUAUAAUCUUCGCCAAUCUACAAAACUAAAUCUCUACAGUCAUUGUAAUGCAAAAUUCACAAGGCAAGAAGGGGAAAGCAAAGCCAGGGGAGCUAUCGUGGGCGCUGACGCACGCCAUUGCCGCGUUUGUGCAUGUGCCAGAUAGGUACCCACUGUUUCACCAUUUAAUCUGGAAACCUGGCAUGCAGACAGCGACGAUUAUUCCUCCGCCGGACAGAAGCUGCUUAUUCCUCCGCGAACACUGACCGGUGAGAGUGACUCAUCCGGACAAUGGACGAUCGCGUCAGCGCAUCCGUGCGCCCCAAACAAUCUCCACGGGCUUCAUUUUCCCGCACGCGCCGGCGCCGCGGCUUCGCCAGCGCUUCCAUCGCCAGCCGCAACGGGAUGAUAUUAUCUGGACCUCAGCGGUAACCGGCUGUGGCCGGGCGAUUACUGUUCAACGCCCCCGGCCCGACAAGUAGGUAAGAUUGAUGCCUCUGCGGACUGCGGUGAUCUGGGUCGUGGUCGUGGUCGUCGCUUCGUUGCCUUUCUCCAUCGAUCAGUCGUGGAUGCUCAAGACAGUGAUACGCCUGACCGCUAAGGAAAGAAUUUUAGUUGCCAAUCAUGGCCUGGCUGUCUGGCUCAUUCCGUUUUCACUGUCUGGACUAUUCAUAUGAUUAAUCAGAUUUAGUAAUAAUUAUCAUAGGUACUAGUACUAGAAGAAGAUAAGAGUCAACGACAUGCAUCUUUUGUAAAUGCUGCUAUCGAACCAAUUAGGUAGACAACACCAUUAAUCAGUUCAGUGCAAAAUUUCCCCGAAGAUCGGGUGCCUCCUCCUUUCGAGUUGGGAGUUCAGAAAGUUGAAACACACGGUACAGUAGACUGCAUUAUUAUUAUCUCUGUGUUUUGCAGUAAUAAACUCUAAACAUCCGCUUAAUGGAGGCCAGGACCAAAACGCCCCUGUAUCAGUGUCAAAGCUACUCCGUCAGUCAAUAUUCAUCAGCGCGGUGUACAGUAUCGGAUUCAUAGCAGGCAAGGCCGAUCAAUCUGGGGACGUGCUUAACUGAGCCGAGGACUGACGACAGAGAAGCGAUUCUGGGCUCCUGUCGUCCCCCGCCCCGCCUGCUAAUCCUUGACCCCGCGGCCGGCUUCCUCACUCCUCGCUUCCUUGCUGCUUCUCCUGUCGACGUCGUGUUCGCUGCCUUCUUUCCAG